Molecule: non-coding RNA, 228 nt
Organism: Vicia faba (fava bean)
Lineage: Eukaryota; Viridiplantae; Streptophyta; Magnoliopsida; Fabales; Fabaceae
Source: the annotation of a GenBank genome assembly
AUGGGUUCACCAUUUUCAUCUCAGACUCAAGAGAUGAUGUAUUUUGAUGUUGCUAUGUAUUUAUAUGAUGAUUAUUAUGCAUUUUGGACUGAGUUUGGUACAAAAAUUGGAACUGUUAUGGAGUUGGACAUUGCAGGAAUCACAACUGAGAAGUUGCAAUUUUGCGAGCAUCGUCAGGCGAGCUUGGGGCGAGGAGAGCAUCCAAGCAUCGCCGAGCGAGACAAGUAG